CUAUUUUCAUUCUUGCAGCUAACCACUUCCCUGCUUCCUGCCUUUACCCCACCACACCCAAUAAAGUUGUUUAGCUGAACUGUUAUCGUUAUACUUUCUUAAUUAGAUAUUUUCCCUGGGAACAUUAAAUUUGGCAGAAGCCACCAAAGAAUGAGUAUUUUUAAAUAUGUGUAGUAAUAAGAGGAAUUAUGGCUAUUACCUAGAAUGAAAUUCUCAAACUUUUUAGUCUCAAUACCUCUUUACAGUCUUAAAAAUUAUUUUGGACUCUAGUAUGAACUUUCAUUUAUAUGCUAGAUCUAUUGAUAUUUACUGAAAUUAAAAUUAAACUGUUAAAACAGAUGCAUAUGUAAGCAUGCAUUCAUUUGUUGUCAGAGCAGUAGCAUCAUCACAUGCCUUGUAGCCUCUGGAAAAAUCUACUGCACAGUCAUGAGAAAAUGUGAGCAAUGCAGGCACAACUUGUCUUAGUGUUACUAGGAAAGCAUUUAGGCCCCCCACACCUUCCUCAGGGUUCUCAGCAACCCCAGGAAGUGCCCAGAUCACACUUUGAGAACUACUGAUCUAGAGUAAUUGCUAAGAAGUAGAAUUACUACAUGAGCUAGUAAUUGGCUCUUAACAAGUCUCUAGUAAAUGUAUAUUUGAAGGGAUUGGAUGAACUACCAGUUGUGACAUGAGAUUCAGUAAAAGUACAGCAAAAGCUCUAGAGAAUAAUAUUAAGUAUGUUUGUAUAUUACUUAUGAUUAUAUAUACUAAUUAUAUUAACAUUUUAUAGCAUUUAUGUCAUUCAUGUUAUAUAUAUUAAUCUAUGUAAUAUUAAGUGUAAUAAUAUGAACAUUCUAUUUCAUCUGGUAGGAUUUUAUAAAUAGAUAUUCAGAGAUCCUCUGAAUCUCCAGCUGUGACAUCUAGAACAGAGUAAUAGUGCACUCCCAGCAAAGGUUUCCGGUGUAGCUGGUAUUCCUUACAUGGUUGCAUGAGCACCAAACUACAUACAAAGCUCCAAACCAGCCUGUUGUCUCUAGGACAGAUAAAAAAUUAAGGGAGUGAAGCAAGCAAAUAGGAAACAAUCUGAUGAUUAUUUUAAGCCUAAUAAUCAGUCUUUGGCUGAGCACUAAAAACUGUUUAUUUUCUUUGAUAAAGGCAAAAAAAAAAAACCCUCUUAAAUCCAUUUUGCUUUAAAGUUAUGAACUGAAAGAAUAGGUAAAUUUGCUCUAAGAUAUGUAGAAUCUGUGUAAUGUAGGAUAAGUUUCUGCAGUUUUUAGUAACAUUAAGUGUAUCUGCCAGUGUUGGGGAAUUGUGAUUCAUUUAUUUGUUAUAUCAUCAGUCAAAGCAAGCAUGAAGCUCUUUCCCAAUUGUGGAAGACCCCACACGGCUUUUUUAGGCAGCUGCCUCUCUAUUUUAUUUUUUUGGAUAGCUGAAGUAGUAGCUCUGCUAAGCUUUACCAUAGCUUCAGUCAGGCAGAUACAAGUAGCUUCUCCUCAGCGCUUUCUUUCUUGUGAUUGAUGUUACAGCAGGUGAUAUUCCAGUCUUGAUAAAGUUUAUUUUACUUUAUCGGUUACCCUUUCAUUUGUUUUGUAAAGACACUAUCAUCAAAUGAUAUAAAGUUGAACGUCCUGCUUGUUAAAUCUUUCCUGUUAACCAGACCCCUUAGUUUUGAGCUGGUGGAGUACAUAUUUAAAAAGAAUUCAAAAUUCAUUCCAGGAUUCUAUGGGGACAUUCUUUCUGCACUGUAGCAAUUCAUAAUGGUCCUGCUUUCUGGGGAGAAAUGGUUAGAAUAUUAGAAACUAGCUACUAGGGUACUUCUUUUUUCCUGAAAAUCGUAGUCACUGCUAAAAAUUCAGUUUAGUUGUUUAGUAUAUAUUUUCUGACAGAUUUUUUUCAGUUUUAUUUAAUUUUGUACAUUUAAAAAGUGGCAUUGCCUUUCUUUAAAUGCUGAGGACAGUAUAUUAGAGCAUUUUAGUAGGUCAUUAACUCAUAUUAAAAAGCUUAAACCGCAAGGGGGAGGUUUUUAAUGUUAUUUUUUAAUAUUAACACUUACUGAAUUUGAGUCGUUUCAACAGAAGAUAUAGUGUCAAGAUGAUAAUACCGCUUUUUCUGUCCUUAAAGGAAAAGCUGCUUAUUCUUCUUCCCUAUACUCCUUACACUCAGUACUUCUGUGUUUUGUGUUUCCCCCACACCAAACAGUUCUUUGACAGCAACUGAUCUCCUACGAUUCAAUUCAACUCUGACAGUUAUUUAUCUGUAUUUAAUGUCAGAUCUCACGGGUUAAGGGUUCAGUCACAUAAGACUGCCUCCCUCACAAAACUUCUGAUGCUAAUCACAAAUCCAGGUUGUUACAUGGGCCUCUGACCAGCUGGCUAUAAAUCAGAGGUUUCCCUGACCCUCUCCUUGGGUUUGGUGAUUUGCUAGAGUGGCUCAGAGAACUCAGAAAAAAAGUUCACCUACUAGACUACUGGCUUAUUAUAAAGGGCUAUUGCCCAGGAACAGCUAGAAAUAAGAGAUGAUAGGGCAAGGUAUGUGUAAGGGCAUCGUGCUGCCAUGCCCUCUGCAGGUACACCACCCUCCCAGCACACCCUCCAUGCCCUCUCCAGCUGUGACACCCUCCCAUCAUGCCUUCCUGCCCUCUCCAGCUGUGACACCAUUCCAGCAUACCUUCCAUGCCCUCUCCAGGUACACCACCCUCCCAGCACAUUCAACCCAGGAAGCUUUUCAAACCUUGUACUUCAGGGAUUUUUAUGGAGUCUUCAUUAUGUAGGCACCAUUGAUUAAAUCAUUUGCCCUUGAAGAUUGAUUGAGGUGAGGGACUCUCUAAUCAUUGUGGUUGGAUGUGGUUGGUUUCCCCCUAGCCACCAGCCCACAUCUAGUGGUUAGCUAGGGACUUUCCAAAACUCACUCAUUCAAGUAAACUCUCUUGUGUUUGAAAGGGGCUUGUUAUAAAUAACAACAGGCAAUUCUUUCACCUUCAUGAAAUUAAGGAAAUUCCAAAAGUUUUAGGGGCUCUGUACCAGGAAUAGGGACGAAGCCCAAAUGUGGAUUUCUAAAUAAAAAUCGCAAUAUUAAAGUUCUAAUCCUUUUUCUUUCUUGUCCUAGAAAUUCUCUCUUUCAUUUUUUUUUUUCUUUAAUCAGUUUUAGGGGAAUGUAAGUUGUCCAGAAUCAUUAAUGAGUUUAGUGAGUUUGAAGAGGAGUUUUUAUCUUCUGUCUCGAGUGAGACAGUACCCUUAGAUUUGGGGCCUGCUAUUUUUAAUAUUGUAAAGGCAAAGGAUAGUCUUUGUGGAUUGUAAAUCUAGAAAACUAUAGCUCCUGGGAAAGAAAAAAAAAAAACUGAUUGAUAAUCUUUGUGUUUUUUUCUUUAUUCUCAAACUUAACUAAAAUACAGUUAACCCUUAGGAAAGUUGUACGGGAGAUGGAGGUCUUUUGGUGUUUGGCUUUCUUUUCCUUCCCCUUAACAGGUAGAAAGAAACAAGUUCAUUAAAAGCUACUGAACCCUUACUGUUAAGAAAAGCUCUCUUAGAAUUCUACUUUGUUCUUGGGAUCUUGUUUGCUUCAUUUUUAUAUUGCUUUAUACCUGGCUUGUUUGGCAUUCUUAGCUCUUUUAGCGUGCUCACUCCCUGAGAGUGAGCAGAGUUUACACUUCUGUGUAUGUAGGUAUCUGAGGUUCGCAAAAAGUGUAAGUACUUGAGCACCUCUCUUCAUUUCCCUAAACUUUUCUUAGUUAAAAAUGAAGAUAUGGGACUAAAAUAGUUCCAAAAUCCAUCCUAACCCUGCUAUUAUUGUAAUAGUAAAAAUCCCUAACUUUGGAUACCUUGUUAUGGGCCAGGAAUCCAAGUAGUCUCAUUUAGUGUUCAGAAACUCAGCCACUAGGUACCACCAUUUUCUCCAGUUUACAGAUAAGGCUUUGAGAAGUUGAUGUAUUUUCCCAAGAUUAUAGAACUAAUGAGCUGGUUUCCGACCAUAGUUGUCUCAUGUCGUUGCUUUUCUCCACUAUGCCUACUGCUUCCUGAAAAAAGGAAAAGUCAGGUGGCCACAUUUUUAUUGAGGGCUUGCUCUAAGCCAGGCAGUGUGCCUAGAGUUGGAUGAUGUAAAUACUACCAUCUCAGUUUUACAGGCUUAGAGGACCAAAUGCUUGAGUCUCUUUCUGGUCACGACGACUUUGAUGGCAUUAUGGGUUAGUUAGAUGGACCUAGUGUUUUAAAAAAAACAGGGCAGUGGUUCUCAGAUUAUGGUCCCAGGACCAGAAGCAUCAGCAUCACUUAGGAAUUUGUUAGAAAUGCAAAUGCUCAGGCCCCACCCCAGACCCACUGAAUUAGGAACAUGGGGAGUCGGACCCAGGAAGCUGUGUUUUAACAAGCCCUUCAGGUGAUUCUCCUGUAGACUCAAGGUUGAGAGCCACUGCACCACACAAGGAACAGGCAGGCCCUUCUCUCAGCAGUGUGGCUAAUUACAGGACAGGAGCAUGGGUAAAGGGCCAAAUCUUCAAAAUUGAGGUUUCGAUAUGUCAGUUUUACCUUUCAUUGUUGAACACAGAGCAUUUCAUAGUAAACGAAUGCCCUAAUUAUAAAACACCUGCCGCUCCUUCAAAAGAAGGUCCUCUUCAGUGUGGUGUUUAAGUGCACCUCCUUCAGAGACCUGAUUUUCAAGAGGAGGAUGUCGUGACGGAUGGGUUUAUUGAAUUUCUCUCAUUUUACAAACCCCCUCUCUUCGUGGAAAAGCUUCCGUGACCUUGGUUUCUGAACAGCCUGGGAAGCAGAGAUGAACUGCAAUCUUUUGCCCUUAAAGAAAACAGAACCAAGGAGAGAGUGUAAAGGGUAACCAGUGUAACAAGAUAGUGAAUGCUUCCGGCUUGUCUUUUUGAGGAAUGUUCGUAGUCAUCGUCAUUUAAGGACUGUACUAUUGACACAAAACCCCAAAGGAGAGAAUAGUACUUCUACCUCAAAAUCUCCCUCUCUGAACCCUGACUUCUGCUAAGGAAUGCUGAUUUCUGACAGGUUUCUUAACAGUGUCCUUGGGGUGGUGGCCCUUGCCUGGUGAUAGGAGGCAUUUAGAGUUCAGGGACCGCUGAAUGGAGUCUAGGGGGUAUUAGCAGGAGACCAGUGUGCUAGCCGGACCACACUCUGCCCUCCUUGGGAAGGACGAGCCUCCCUAAGAGCAGUGAUGGACAGAGCUUUGGCCUCAGUUUGAGGGGGUGGGGAUGCGGCAGACAACAUACUCUCCAGGCAUCUCUAGUCUUUGUCAUGGGGCAGAACUGAGAUUCCUAACUCCUUAUUCACCAUCAUGGAAAGUUUCACUUUUGUUGCAGCUAGCUUCAUUCAUUGUUUUCUUUUCUGCUUUAAAUUCCCUCCACCCCCGCUUCAAAUAAGCCCCCUAUAGUUUCAUAAUCGUUUGCCUUUUCUCUUGCUCUGAAAUAUAGCAGAAUGGAGACUUUGGGCAAAAUGGCCAGCACGCUGAUGAGAGCCAGCUGGUCUGUAGCUUCCCGAAGGUAGCUGGCUCUCCAGGCAGAUGGGAGGAGAAAAAGGCUUCACACCCCAGUAGGAACUUGCCAGAAGCAAGUGCUAGAAGAAUCACUUACACAGCUUAACAGAGGGAAUUUAUAUAUUUCUUCUUCCCCAGUUCCAAUCCUAAGAGUACUUCCGAAGCUACAGAAAUGUUAGUGGCUUUGAGCAUGUUCUUGGCCUGGUUGUCAUUUCUGGCAGUUUCGCAUGAUUUUCUUCUCACUUCCAGCAACUACCCACUCAGGGAUCAUGUCUGUCUUUAGGGAAGUCUCCCUCCAUGUCUCUUUUGCGAGCAUAAUGGUUAGUCAGAAACACCCCUGGCCUUCAGAUAAAUCCAGUUUUCCUGAAACACCACAAUCUUGAGAAUUUGAGAGCCUACGACAGUGUUAAACAGACUUGGUAGUUUCUAGUUCAUGAACUAUUAUUUGGGGGGGCGGUGGCAGGGAGCAGGAAUUGGGCAGUUUGGAAUUGGGGUAAAUUGUCAAAGUACAGAUGGGAGCAUGACUGCGUGGAGUGAAUUUUUCUCAGAAACAAAGGACUCUUCAUACUCCAGUUCACAAGUGAUCCAGAGACUUACUGUGGAAGCAGGUAUAUUAAAACCCAAGCACUGGCGUUCCCACUGUGGCUCAGCAGAUACCAAUCUGAGUAGCAUCCAUGAGGAUGUAGGUUUGAUCCCUGGCCUUGCUCAGUGGGUUAAGGAUCUGGCGUUGCUGUGAGCUGUGGUGUAGGUCACAGAUGUGGCUCGGAUUUGGUGUUGCUGUGGCUGUGGUGUAGGCCAGUGGCUACAGAUCUGAUUUGACCCCUAGCCUGUGAACCUCUAUAUGCCAGGAGUGUGGCCCUAAAAAGACAAAAAUAAAUAAAUAAAAAACAAACAACCAAGCAUUGAAAAGAACCAGCCCCUUUUUUUCUAUGACAGGGAACCACCAUUCCUCAGCCUACCUAGAAAAGUACCCUUUCCUCACUCUUUGUUUCUUCUCUGUGAACCAGGCAAUGAGAGUUCAGGUGAGUGAUGUUUCUGGCUGUAUUAGGUGCUGCUGAAGCAGUUCUGGGACCCCCUGUGGAGUGAGAUGGGACUUCCCCAGGCACCUGCAGAGGCGAGGCUAGUGGAUUAGGUAGAGGUAGAAGCACUGUGCAGGUCAGGGUAAAGACUGUGUUGUUUGUACCAGGAGUUGAACCAAUGGAGGUAUUAAUUGGAUUUCAGUUAACUGGGAAUUCAGAUGGCAAAAACACGUCCCUUAUAUUUCCAGUUAGUAUGUUUUCCCAGUCACCUGAACAUCUUAAUUGAUUUUACUAAUCAUUUUGGUUCUAAGAGAGUUUCUUGGGCUAAUUAAGAAACUGAACUAAAAUGCUUGCAUUUUGAUUUCAAGAAUUUACUUUUUCCUUAGAAGGGUGCUAACUCUGUUAAGCAUGCUUUUGAUAUGUGUGGAUGAUAAGAACAAUGGACUUAGUGGAGCGGAAAUCAUUAAGUUAAAUGCUCAGUUAAUUUCACUCUGAAUCAGUAUCAUGUUCUUACGUAGCUCAUCUGCACACAGGCUCUUUAAAAAUAGUUUUUCUGUAUUACAGAAGGAAUUAGAAAGUACAGACAACUGAAAAAGAAGAAGAAUUUCCAUCAAUGUCAUUUCCAAAUAGGCUUAUCAUGAAUACUUGUGGGGUAUAUCCUUCCCAACUUUUCUCAUGCUUUUCCUCCUCCCCCAGAAAUCUGACCUCAGCUCAUCAUUUUUUGAACCUCAUUGUGAAUGCCUUUCUGUGUCAUUUGACCCAUCUUUUCUAGCCCUCUGUUAGUGACUGUGCAGGUAUGGUUUAGAAAUGGCUUGCAAAAUCAGCUCAGGUUGUGGGAUGUUUAGAUUAUUUCUGGUUGUUCACUAAUUGAAGCAUUGCUACAAUGAAAUAUUGAAAACCUUUUACCUUUGCUUAAUUGCAGUUUUUAGAUAAGUUCCUAGAAGUGUAUUUGCUAGGUCCCAAGCUUUUUCCACAUUGCCUUCCAGGAUGGCUUCUUCUUCUAGGAUUCUGUGUUCAAUUUAGAUCACUUAAAUACAAGAUCUGUAACAGCAUUUCUCCUCUUCCAUUCUGUGUUCUACUUUUCUAUUUUGUGCAUCGUCUGGGGAAAGGGAAAAGAACUUAAAAUGAACUCCUGGGUUAGCAGGGUUUGUUUUGCACAGAACUGUGUUUAAGACAUGGUAAUACAUUCGUAUCAUUUAAAAUAAUUCUCAGUAGCUGAUUCAGUCAACAGCACUUAGAGUAGGGGUCCUCUAUACACCCUUGGUUGGUGUCCAUAAAAGCUCCAUGAAAGACAAUAGCUGGGGAGAAAUAGGUUGUGACUGACAAAGUCAACCACCUAGUCCACCUGCUAAAAAAAAAAAAAAAAAAAAAAAAAAAAA
Molecule: long non-coding RNA, 7861 nt
Filed under: Sus scrofa (pig)
Lineage: Eukaryota; Metazoa; Chordata; Mammalia; Artiodactyla; Suidae
Description: lncRNA (ENSSSCG00055024442.1)
Source: RNAcentral